AUUGAACGCUGGCGGCAUGCCUUACACAUGCAAGUCGAACGGCAGCGCGGGGCAACCUGGCGGCGAGUGGCGAACGGGUGAGUAAUAUAUCGGAACAUACCCUAGAGUGGGGAUAACGUAGCGAAGUUACGCUAAUACCGCAUACGCACUAAGGUGGAAAGUGGGGGAUCUUCGGACCUCAUGCUCAUGGAGUGGCCGAUAUCUGAUUAGCUAGUUGGUGAGGUAAAGGCUCACCAAGGCGACGAUCAGUAGCUGGUUUGAGAGAACGACCAGCCACACUGGAACUGAGACACGGUCCAGACUCCUACGGAGGCAGCAGUGGGGAAUUUUGGACAAUGGGGGCAACCCUGAUCCAGCAAUGCCGCGUGAGUGAAGAAGGCCUC
This 383-nucleotide ribosomal RNA is filed under the name uncultured bacterium. RNAcentral describes it as "bacterial SSU rRNA". It matches the Rfam family "Bacterial small subunit ribosomal RNA", at positions 30 to 418 of the family's 1533-position model. The record is from RNAcentral.